Molecule: non-coding RNA, 84 nt
Organism: Gloeopeniophorella convolvens
Lineage: Eukaryota; Fungi; Basidiomycota; Agaricomycetes; Russulales
Source: the annotation of a GenBank genome assembly
GCCGGGAUAGCUCAGCUGGGAGAGCAACAGACUGAAGUUCCUAUGGCUUUCUGGAGGUCCCGUGUUCAAUCCACGGUCCUGGCA